Molecule: non-coding RNA, 416 nt
Organism: Paramuricea clavata
Lineage: Eukaryota; Metazoa; Cnidaria; Anthozoa; Malacalcyonacea; Plexauridae
Source: the annotation of a GenBank genome assembly
CAUCUGCGGAACGCCUUUUUUUUUUUUUUUUUUUUUUUUUUUUUUUUUUUUUUUUUUUUUUUUUUUUUUUUUUUUUUUUUUUUUGUGAUUGUGAUUGUGAUUUCGUAGUGAACAGACGUGUGUUUUAGUGCUCCGCUUAUAUUUAUUAUAAAAGUCUACUGAAAGUCUACAGAUAAUUAUUUAUUGUGAAGCUAGGACAAAUGGAUCCGAAGCAAAGUCUAUUGCACAAUCUAGAUGUCAACACUAAAGGCAAAGUGAUUUGGACCUCAUCAUAUGAGCUCUUGCAACAAUUUGUAGAAGAAGGUUUGAAUUUAUGCGAUGGAGAAUGGUCUUCCCCUGGUGGCGAUGGCAAACUCUUUGAAUAUGAUGAUACAUCCAUUCGGUGGUAUGUAAAGACACAAACAAUCACAGUCAGU